CCUACGGGUGGCAGCAGUAGGGAAUAUUGCUCAAUGGGGGAAACCCUGAAGCAGCAACGCCGCGUGGAGGAUGAAGGUUUUCGGAUUGUAAACUCCUUUUGUUAGAGAAGAUAAUGACGGUAUCUAACGAAUAAGCACCGGCUAACUCCGUGCCAGCAGCCGCGGUAAUACGGAGGGUGCAAGCGUUACUCGGAAUCACUGGGCGUAAAGAGCGCGUAGGCGGGAUAGCAAGUCAGAUGUGAAAUCCUAUGGCUUAACCAUAGAACUGCAUUUGAAACUGUUAUUCUAGAGUAUGGGAGGGGUAGGUGGGAUUUUUGGUGGAGGGGUAAAAUCCGGAGGGAUCAAAAGGAAAAAUCAAUGCGAAGG
This 366-nucleotide ribosomal RNA is filed under the name uncultured bacterium. Its description in RNAcentral is "partial 16S ribosomal RNA". It matches the Rfam family "Bacterial small subunit ribosomal RNA", at positions 338 to 721 of the family's 1533-position model. The record is from RNAcentral.